RNAcentral lists this ribosomal RNA (433 nucleotides) under uncultured bacterium. Its description in RNAcentral is "partial 16S ribosomal RNA". It matches the Rfam family "Bacterial small subunit ribosomal RNA", at positions 29 to 507 of the family's 1533-position model. The record is from RNAcentral.
AACGAACGCUGGCGGCAUGCCUAACACAUGCAAGUCGAACGAGACCUCCCGGCCUAGUGGCGCUCGGGUGCGUAACGCCUGGGAAGUUGCCCUUGAGUUCCCAAUCCCUCCCUGAAAGGUAUGCUCAUACCGCUUAAUCUCUUCGCACCAAAGAUUUAUGGCCUUUGGAUGGGCCCGCGUUGGUUUCGCUAGUUGGUAGGGUAAAAGCAUACCAAGGCGACGAUCCAUAGCUGGUGUGAGAGGAUGACCAGCCACACUGGGACUGAGACACGGCCCAGACUCCUACGGGAGGCAGCAGUGGGGAAUAUUGGACGAUGGGCGAAAGCCUGAUCCAGCAAUGCCGCGUGAGUGAUGAAGGCCUUAGGGUUGUAAAGCUCUUUUACCCGGGAUGAUAAUGACAGUACCGGGAGAAUAAGCUCCGGCUAACUCCGUG